UACGCAGGGGGCUAGCGUUAUCCGGAAUUACUGGGCGUAAAGGGUGCGUAGGUGGUUUCUUAAGUCAGAGGUGAAAGGCUACGGCUCAACCGUAGUAAGCCUUUGAAACUGAGGAACUUGAGUGCAGGAGAGGAGAGUAGAAUUCCUAGUGUGGCGGUCAAAUGCGUAGAGAUUAGGCGGAAUGCCAGUUGCGAAGGCGGCUCUCUGGACUGUAACUGACAAUGAGGCACGAAAGAGUGGGGAGCAAACAGG
Molecule: ribosomal RNA, 252 nt
Filed under: uncultured bacterium
Lineage: Bacteria
Description: partial 16S ribosomal RNA
Rfam family: Bacterial small subunit ribosomal RNA
Source: RNAcentral